AGGAUCUGAGGCUGCAAGUGGCAACUACUGAAAGGUCUCUGCUUUGUGAAUGAAGCACAUCAGUGGUACGACGUGCACAUUAUUUGGAUUAUUAACCACGCUCAGGAAUAAAACUGCAACACCACAUUGCUGGAGUUCUUUUUUUAACCAAAGACAUCCUUGACCAUUAGCUGACCGCUCCACACAGAGGAAAUCCCUGGUGCCCACGAGAUCUGGGAUUUAUGCGAUUCAAAACAAGGGGAAGAAUGAUGGACUGCUGAGUUUGGUGAUCGGGGUCCAAAAGACACUAUUUCUGCUCUGUCUGAGAACCUCUUUGAUUCCACUUCAGCAGCACAUUCUUCAG
This is a long non-coding RNA of Scatophagus argus, 343 nucleotides long. RefSeq lists it as uncharacterized. NCBI's taxonomy places the organism in Eukaryota, Metazoa, Chordata, Actinopteri, Scatophagidae. The record is from RefSeq and is a predicted model, not a curated record. The transcript is spliced from 3 exons.